UACGGAGGGUGCGAACGUUAAUCGGAAUCACUGGGCGUAAAGCGCGCGUAGGCGGUCUGUUAAGUGGGAUGUGAAAUCCCCGGGCUUAACCUGGGAAUUGCAUUUCAAACUGGCCGACUAGAGUACGGUAGAGGGAGGUAGAAUUUCCUGUGUAGCGGUGAAAUGCGUAGAUAUAGGAAGGAAUACCAGUGGCGAAGGCGGCCUCCUGGAUCGAUACUGACGCUGAGGCGCGAAGGCGUGGGGAGCAAACAGG
This 253-nucleotide ribosomal RNA is filed under the name uncultured bacterium. RNAcentral describes it as "partial 16S ribosomal RNA". It matches the Rfam family "Bacterial small subunit ribosomal RNA", at positions 524 to 776 of the family's 1533-position model. The record is from RNAcentral.